Molecule: non-coding RNA, 30 nt
Filed under: Mus musculus (house mouse)
Lineage: Eukaryota; Metazoa; Chordata; Mammalia; Rodentia; Muridae
Source: RNAcentral
UGCUAAGUUGUUGGGAUUUCUCCCAUGAUG